This 72-nucleotide transfer RNA is filed under the name Bos taurus (domestic cattle). It matches the Rfam family "tRNA". Rfam says of the family: Transfer RNA (tRNA) molecules are approximately 80 nucleotides in length. Lineage: Eukaryota; Metazoa; Chordata; Mammalia; Artiodactyla; Bovidae. The record is from Rfam by way of RNAcentral. RNAcentral also lists the same sequence under 2 other names.
UCCCUGGUGAUCCAGUGGUUAGGACUUGGCAAUUUCACUGCUAAGGCCCAGGUUCAAUCCCUGAUUGGGGAA